GCGGGUAUCGUUCAGUGGUAGGACCCCACUCUUCCAAAGUGGAGACACCAGUUCGAGCCUGGUUACCCGCACCA
This 74-nucleotide transfer RNA is filed under the name Puniceicoccales bacterium. RNAcentral describes it as "tRNA-Gly". It matches the Rfam family "tRNA". From Rfam's summary of the family: Transfer RNA (tRNA) molecules are approximately 80 nucleotides in length. Their secondary structure includes four short double-helical elements and three loops (D, anti-codon, and T loops). Further hydrogen bonds mediate the characteristic L-shaped molecular structure. tRNAs have two regions of fundamental functional importance: the anti-codon, which is responsible for specific mRNA codon recognition, and the 3' end, to which the tRNAs corresponding amino acid is attached (by aminoacyl-tRNA synthetases). tRNAs cope with the degeneracy of the genetic code in two manners: having more than one tRNA (with a specific anti-codon) for a particular amino acid; and 'wobble' base-pairing, i.e. permitting non-standard base-pairing at the 3rd anti-codon position. The record is from RNAcentral. Lineage: Bacteria; Pseudomonadati; Verrucomicrobiota; Opitutia; Puniceicoccales.